GGUUAAAACUCAAAUGAAUUGACGGGGGCCCGCACAAGCGGUGGAGCAUGUGGUUUAAUUCGAUGCAACGCGAAGAACCUUACCUGGUCUUGACAUCCACGGAAGUUUUCAGAGAUGAGAAUGUGCCUUCGGGAACCGUGAGACAGGUGCUGCAUGGCUGUCGUCAGCUCGUGUUGUGAAAUGUUGGGUUAAGUCCCGCAACGAGCGCAACCCUUAUCCUUUGUUGCCAGCGGUUAG
RNAcentral lists this ribosomal RNA (237 nucleotides) under Salmonella enterica subsp. enterica serovar Infantis. RNAcentral's name for it is "partial 16S ribosomal RNA". It matches the Rfam family "Bacterial small subunit ribosomal RNA", at positions 892 to 1128 of the family's 1533-position model. Lineage: Bacteria; Pseudomonadati; Pseudomonadota; Gammaproteobacteria; Enterobacterales; Enterobacteriaceae. The record is from RNAcentral.